This 329-nucleotide ribosomal RNA is filed under the name uncultured eukaryote. RNAcentral describes it as "partial 18S ribosomal RNA". It matches the Rfam family "Eukaryotic small subunit ribosomal RNA", at positions 1470 to 1796 of the family's 1831-position model. The record is from RNAcentral.
CCCUUAGAUGUUCUGGGCCGCACGCGCGCUACACUGAUGCAUUCAAAGAGUCUAAAACCUGCUCUGAUAGGGGUGGGUAAUCUUUUGAAUGUGCAUCGUGAUUGGGAUAGAUGAUUGCAAUUUUUCAUCUUCAACGAGGAAUGCCUAGUAAACGCAAGUCAUCAGCUUGCAUUGAUUACGUCCCUGCCCUUUGUACACACCGCCCGUCGCUCCUACCGAUUGAAUGAUCCGAUGAAUAUCAUGGAUUGAGGAUGCAAGUAGGUUCGCCUAUCUUCAUCUUCGAGAAGUGAAGUAAAUCUUAUCAUUUAGAGGAAGGAGAAGUCGUAACA